Molecule: ribosomal RNA, 572 nt
Filed under: uncultured fungus
Lineage: Eukaryota; Fungi
Description: eukaryotic LSU rRNA
Rfam family: Eukaryotic large subunit ribosomal RNA
Source: RNAcentral
AAACCAACAGGGAUUACCUCAGUAACGGCGAGUGAAGCGGUAACAGCUCAAAUUUGAAAUCUGGGUCUUUCAGGCUCCGAGUUGUAAUUUGUAGAAGAUGCUUCGGGUGCGGCUCCGGUCUAAGUUCCUUGGAACAGGACGUCAUAGAGGGUGAGAAUCCCGUAUGUGAUCGGUUGCUUGCGCCCAUGUGAAGCUCUUUCGACGAGUCGAGUUGUUUGGGAAUGCAGCUCAAAAUGGGUGGUAAAUUUCAUCUAAAGCUAAAUAUUGGCCAGAGACCGAUAGCGCACAAGUAGAGUGAUCGAAAGAUGAAAAGCACUUUGGAAAGAGAGUUAAACAGUACGUGAAAUUGUUGAAAGGGAAGCGCUUGCAACCAGACUUGCGCGUUGCCGAUCAUCCGGGGUUCUCCCCGGUGCACUCGGCCUCGCUCAGGCCAGCAUCGGUUUUGGUGGUGGGAUAAAGGCCUUGGGAAUGUAGCUCCUUUCGGGGAGUGUUAUAGCCCUCGGUGCAAUGCCGCCUACCGGGACCGAGGACCGCGCUUCGGCUAGGAUGCUGGCGUAAUGGUUGUAAGCGAC